This 671-nucleotide ribosomal RNA is filed under the name uncultured Lachnospiraceae bacterium. Its description in RNAcentral is "bacterial SSU rRNA". It matches the Rfam family "Bacterial small subunit ribosomal RNA", at positions 72 to 763 of the family's 1533-position model. Lineage: Bacteria; Bacillati; Bacillota; Clostridia; Lachnospirales; Lachnospiraceae. The record is from RNAcentral.
CUUGCUUCUCCAAGUCAGUGGCGGACGGGUGAGUAACGCGUGAGUAACCUGCCCUUCAGAGGGGGAUAACGUCUGGAAACGGACGCUAAUACCGCAUGACAUAUUUCCAUCGCAUGGUGGAGAUAUCAAAGGAGCAAUCCGCUGAAGGAUGGACUCGCGUCCGAUUAGAUAGUUGGCGGGGUAACGGCCCACCAAGUCGACGAUCGGUAGCCGGACUGAGAGGUUGAACGGCCACAUUGGGACUGAGACACGGCCCAGACUCCUACGGGAGGCAGCAGUGGGGGAUAUUGCACAAUGGGCGAAAGCCUGAUGCAGCAACGCCGCGUGAGGGAAGACGGUUUUCGGAUUGUAAACCUCUGUUCUAAGUGACGAACAAAUGACGGUAGCUUAGGAGAAAGCCCCGGCUAACUACGUGCCAGCAGCCGCGGUAAUACGUAGGGGGCAAGCGUUGUCCGGAAUUACUGGGUGUAAAGGGAGCGCAGGCGGAGAAGCAAGUCAGUGGUGAAAACGAUGGGCUUAACUCAUCGACUGCCAUUGAAACUGUUUCCCUUGAGUGAAGUAGAGGCAGGCGGAAUUCCGAGUGUAGCGGUGAAAUGCGUAGAUAUUCGGAGGAACACCAGUGGCGAAGGCGGCCUGCUGGGCUUUAACUGACGCUGAGGCUCGAAAGUGUG